GUACACGCUGUGACUAGUAUAUCAAUAAGCGGAGGAAAAGAAACUAACAAGGAUUCCCCUAGUAACGGCGAGUGAAGCGGGAAGAGCUCAAAUUUGAAAUCUUAAAGGGUUUCCCUUUACGAAUUGUAGUUUAAAGAAGUGUUUUCUGUUGAGGUUUUGGUAAAAGUUCUUUGGAAUAGGACAUCAUAGAGGGUGAGAAUCCCGUAUUUGACCUUUACUUUCAACUUUGUGAUACACUUUCAAAGAGUCGGAUUGUUUGGGAAUGCAGUCCAAAAUGGGUGGUAAAUUUCAUCUAAAGCUAAAUAUUGGCGAGAGACCGAUAGCGAACAAGUACCGUGAGGGAAAGAUGAAAAGAACUUUGAAAAGAGAGUUAAACAGUACGUGAAAUUGUCAAAAGGGAAGCGUUUGACACCAGUGUUGUUUUUCUGAAAAUCAAUUAAAGAACUGUUUAUGCUAAGUUGUUUAGACUUUAUCAGCUAACUGUUUAGUUUUGAGCUUUUCUUUAAUGCACUUUUCAGUUAACAAGUCAACAUCAAUUUCUUUUGCUGUAAAAAAGCUUGAGGAAGGUGGCUUGAGAUUCGUCUUAAGUGUUUAUAGCCUCUUGCCUAUGCAGUCGGAGAGAUUGAGGUCCGCAGCGUAGAUCCUUCGGGGCUAAAUGCAUUCGUGCUAAGUUAUAACAUUUUAUAGACAACUUGUUGACUAUGAUUUGUCUUGUAGCUUACUCGCUUAUGUUAUUUUACCUACGCUUAGGAUGUUGACGCGCGUGUGUGCGG
This 773-nucleotide ribosomal RNA is filed under the name uncultured Neocallimastigales. RNAcentral's name for it is "partial large subunit ribosomal RNA". It matches the Rfam family "Eukaryotic large subunit ribosomal RNA", at positions 22 to 643 of the family's 3401-position model. The record is from RNAcentral. Lineage: Eukaryota; Fungi; Neocallimastigomycota; Neocallimastigomycetes; Neocallimastigales.